RNAcentral lists this small RNA (313 nucleotides) under Arabidopsis thaliana (thale cress). RNAcentral's name for it is "ATSL046880". Lineage: Eukaryota; Viridiplantae; Streptophyta; Magnoliopsida; Brassicales; Brassicaceae. The record is from RNAcentral.
AUUCGUUUUUUUUGUGUGUUUCAACUUUCAAGCAUGAACAUAAUUAGUAUUUCUACUGUACCUUCUUUUACCAUAUUUCAAUGAGUAUCUACAUAAAAUAGCCAUGGAUUCAAAAAAAAUUAAGAGAAUAGCCAUGAGCUACAGGGGUAAGUCGGAAACACAUGUAAUUUUACAUGUAUAACCUUAGACAUCAAAGCGACAAGACACUGUUUGGGGAGCGUAUGAUUCUGGGUUUGAAAUUUGAAUUCUAUUGCAUUAUUCGGCCCAAGUUUGUCUCACGACCAAAGUAAUAACCCUAAAAUUAAAAAAAAAA